This 424-nucleotide ribosomal RNA is filed under the name uncultured bacterium. Its description in RNAcentral is "bacterial SSU rRNA". It matches the Rfam family "Bacterial small subunit ribosomal RNA", at positions 355 to 776 of the family's 1533-position model. The record is from RNAcentral.
UCGAGGAUAUUUAGCAAUGGGCGAAAGCCUGACUAUGUGACGCCGCGUGAGGGAAGAAGGUUUUCGGAUCGUAAACCUCUUUCGAUGGAGAAGAAACUUCUGAUUAACUGUCAGAACUGACGGUAUCCAGAGAAGAAGCCACGGCCAACUCCGUGCCAGCAGCCGCGGUAAUACGGGGGUGGCGAGCGUUACUCGGAUUUAUUGGGUGUAAAGGGCAGGUAGGUGUUUCGUUAAGUUAGAAGUGAAAUCCUGUGGCUUAACCACAGAACUGCUUCUAAAACUAGCGGAAUUGAGGAUAGAAGAGGAGAGCGGAAUUCCCGGUGUAAGGGUGAAAUCUGUAGAUAUCGGGAGGAACACCAGUGGCGAAGGCGGCUCUCUGGUCUAUCCCUGACGCUGAACUGCGAAAGCUAGGGGAGCAAACAGG